RNAcentral lists this ribosomal RNA (506 nucleotides) under uncultured bacterium. RNAcentral's name for it is "partial 16S ribosomal RNA". It matches the Rfam family "Bacterial small subunit ribosomal RNA", at positions 28 to 523 of the family's 1533-position model. The record is from RNAcentral.
GAUGAACGCUAGCUACAGGCUUAACACAUGCAAGUCGAGGGGUAACAAGAGACAAGCUUGCUUUUCUUGUUGACGACCGGCGCACGGGUGAGUAACGCGUAUCCAACCUGCCUAUAACUAGGGGAUAACCUUGCGAAAGUAAGACUAAUACCCUAUGAUUUCCUUUGAUGACAUCAGAUUAGGAAUAAAGAUUUAUCGGUUAUAGAUGGGGAUGCGUCUGAUUAGCUUGUUGGCGGGGUAACGGCCCACCAAGGCAACGAUCAGUAGGGGUUAUGGGAGGAAGGUCCCCCACAUUAGAACUGAGACACGGUCCAAACUCCUACGGGAGGCAGCAGUGAGGAAUAUUGGUCAAUGGGCGGAAGCCUGACCCAGCCAAGUAGCGUGCAGGAUGACGGCCCUAUGGAUUGUAAACUGCUUUUAUACAGGAAUAAAGUUAGCCACGUGUGGUUAUUUGUAGGUACUGUAUGAAUAAGGACCGGCUAAUUCCGUGCCAGCCGCCGCGGUAA